GGGAUGAUAGCUCAGCAGAAGAGCAUUUGCUUUGCAGGCAGAUGGCCCAGGGUUCAAUCUCUGUCAUGUCCA
RNAcentral lists this transfer RNA (72 nucleotides) under Sphaerodactylus townsendi. Its description in RNAcentral is "tRNA-Ala". It matches the Rfam family "tRNA". From Rfam's summary of the family: Transfer RNA (tRNA) molecules are approximately 80 nucleotides in length. Their secondary structure includes four short double-helical elements and three loops (D, anti-codon, and T loops). The record is from RNAcentral. Lineage: Eukaryota; Metazoa; Chordata; Lepidosauria; Squamata; Sphaerodactylidae.